CUACUUACCUGGCAGGGGAGACACCAUGAUCACGAAGGUGGUUUUCCCAGUGCGAGGCUUAGCCAUCGCACUCCGGAUGUGCUGACCCCUGCAAUUUCCCCAAAUGUGGGAAACUCGACUGCAUAAUUUGUGGUAGUGGGGGGACUGUGUUCAUGCUCUCCCCAA
Castor canadensis (American beaver) is the source of this 165-nucleotide small nuclear RNA. Its record names the gene U1. It matches the Rfam family "U1 spliceosomal RNA". Rfam says of the family: U1 is a small nuclear RNA (snRNA) component of the spliceosome (involved in pre-mRNA splicing). Its 5' end forms complementary base pairs with the 5' splice junction, thus defining the 5' donor site of an intron. The record is from Ensembl. NCBI's taxonomy places the organism in Eukaryota, Metazoa, Chordata, Mammalia, Rodentia, Castoridae.